AUGGUAUGGCUCUUACUGUGAUAUUUAGGGAGUCUGGAGUGUGCUUUGAAGGGGAGGUUGUUUGUAGGUUAUUGAACACUGAUACCUACAACGACCACUCCCUUUGAUGCAUGAGUUUUAUCAGAGUGGAUGGUCGUUGGACUAAAGACCGAGGGGCUACAGUCGAGGAAGAGGAGGAUGAGGAGGAGCGUGCUGAGGGGGA
RNAcentral lists this long non-coding RNA (202 nucleotides) under Elaeis guineensis (African oil palm). RNAcentral describes it as "long non-coding RNA (EGUI_LNC033623)". Lineage: Eukaryota; Viridiplantae; Streptophyta; Magnoliopsida; Arecales; Arecaceae. The record is from RNAcentral.